CUACGGGUUGCAGCAGUCGAGAAUCUUUUGCAAUGCGCGAAAGCGUGACAAUGCGACGCCGCGUGAGCGAUGAAGGCCUUCGGGUUGUAAAGCUCUGUCAGGCCGGAAGAAUUGCAGUUGGGUUAAUACCCCAACUGUUUGACGGUACGGCCAAAGGAAGCCACGGCUAACUCCGUGCCAGCAGCCGCGGUAAUACGGAGGUGGCUAGCGUUGUUCGGAUUUACUGGGUGUAAAGGGCAUGUAGGUGGCUGGAUAAGUCCCAAUUGAAAUACUUCGGCUCAACCGAAGAAUUGGUUGGGAAACUGUCUGGCUUGAGUUCAGGAGAGGAGAAUGGAAUUCCCGGUGUAAAGGUGAAAUUUGUAGAGAUCGGGAGGAACACCUGUGGCGAAAGCGAUUCUCUGGCCUGAAACUGACACUGAAAUGCGAAAGCUAGGGGAGCAAACAGGAUUAGAUACCCGCGUAGUC
Molecule: ribosomal RNA, 465 nt
Filed under: uncultured bacterium
Lineage: Bacteria
Description: partial 16S ribosomal RNA
Rfam family: Bacterial small subunit ribosomal RNA
Source: RNAcentral